This 74-nucleotide transfer RNA is filed under the name Merluccius polli (Benguela hake). Its description in RNAcentral is "tRNA-Arg". It matches the Rfam family "tRNA". Rfam says of the family: Transfer RNA (tRNA) molecules are approximately 80 nucleotides in length. Their secondary structure includes four short double-helical elements and three loops (D, anti-codon, and T loops). Lineage: Eukaryota; Metazoa; Chordata; Actinopteri; Gadiformes; Merlucciidae. The record is from RNAcentral.
GGCUCUGUGGCGCAAUGGAUAGCGCGUUGGACUUCUAAUUCAAAGGUUGUGGGUUCGAGUCCCACCAGAGUCGA